AUUGAACGCUGGCGGCAUGCCUUACACAUGCAAGUCGAACGGCAGCGGACCUUCGGGUGCCGGCGAGUGGCGAACGGGUGAGUAAUGCAUCGGAACGUGCCAUUGAGUGGGGGAUAACGUAGCGAAAGUUACGCUAAUACCGCAUAUUCUGUGAGCAGGAAAGCAGGGGACCGCAAGGCCUUGCGCUCUUUGAGCGGCCGAUGUCAGAUUAGCUAGUUGGUGAGGUAAAGGCUUACCAAGGCGACGAUCUGUAGCGGGUCUGAGAGGAUGAUCCGCCACACUGGAACUGAGACACGGUCCAGACUCCUACGGGAGGCAGCAGUGGGGAAUUUUGGACAAUGGGCGAAAGCCUGAUCCAGCCAUGCCGCGUGAGUGAAGAAGGCCUCGG
This 388-nucleotide ribosomal RNA is filed under the name uncultured bacterium. Its description in RNAcentral is "bacterial SSU rRNA". It matches the Rfam family "Bacterial small subunit ribosomal RNA", at positions 30 to 420 of the family's 1533-position model. The record is from RNAcentral.